Molecule: ribosomal RNA, 253 nt
Filed under: uncultured bacterium
Lineage: Bacteria
Description: partial 16S ribosomal RNA
Rfam family: Bacterial small subunit ribosomal RNA
Source: RNAcentral
UACGUAGGGCGCAAGCGUUAUCCGGAAUUAUUGGGCGUAAAGAGCUCGUAGGCGGCUCGUUGCGUCGGCUGUGAAAACCCGCAGCUCAACUGUGGGCUUGCAGCUGAUACGGGCGGGCUGGGAUUCGGUAGGGGAGACUGGAAUUCCUGGUGUAGCGGUGAAAUGCGCAGAUAUCAGGAGGAACACCGGUGGCGAAGGCGGUUCUCUGGGCAUUACCUGACGCUGAGGAGCGAAAGUGUGGGGAGCGAACAGG